Molecule: ribosomal RNA, 253 nt
Filed under: uncultured bacterium
Lineage: Bacteria
Description: partial 16S ribosomal RNA
Rfam family: Bacterial small subunit ribosomal RNA
Source: RNAcentral
UACGUAGGGCGCAAGCGUUGUCCGGAAUUAUUGGGCGUAAAGAGCGUGUAGGCGGCCUGGAAGGUCAGCUGUGAAAACUCGAGGCUCAACCUCGAGACGUCGGUUGAAACCACCUGGCUAGAGUCCGGAAGAGGAGAGUGGAAUUCCCGGUGUAGCGGUGAAAUGCGCAGAUAUCGGGAGGAACACCAAUGGCGAAGGCAGCUUGCUGGGACGGUACUGACGCUGAGGCGCGAAAGCGUGGGGAGCAAACAGG